Molecule: ribosomal RNA, 839 nt
Filed under: Staphylococcus pseudintermedius
Lineage: Bacteria; Bacillati; Bacillota; Bacilli; Caryophanales; Staphylococcaceae
Description: partial 23S ribosomal RNA
Rfam family: Bacterial large subunit ribosomal RNA
Source: RNAcentral
CUUGAAACCGUGUGCUUACAAGUAGUCAGAGCCCGUUAAUGGGUGAUGGCGUGCCUUUUGUAGAAUGAACCGGCGAGUUACGAUCUGAUGCAAGGUUAAGCAGAAAAUGUGGAGCCGUAGCGAAAGCGAGUCUGAAUAGGGCGAAUGAGUAUUUGGUCGUAGACCCGAAACCAGGUGAUCUACCCUUGGUCAGGUUGAAGUUCAGGUAACACUGAAUGGAGGACCGAACCGACUUACGUUGAAAAGUGAGCGGAUGAACUGAGGGUAGCGGAGAAAUUCCAAUCGAACUUGGAGAUAGCUGGUUCUCUCCGAAAUAGCUUUAGGGCUAGCCUCAAGUGAUGAUUAUUGGAGGUAGAGCACUGUUUGGACGAGGGGCCCCUCUCGGGUUACCGAAUUCAGACAAACUCCGAAUGCCAAAUAAUUUAACUUGGGAGUCAGAAUGUGGGUGAUAAGGUCCAUAUUCGAAAGGGAAACAGCCCAGACCACCAGCUAAGGUCCCAAAAUAUAUGUUAAGUGGAAAAGGAUGUGGCGUUGCCCAGACAACUAGGAUGUUGGCUUAGAAGCAGCCAUCAUUUAAAGAGUGCGUAAUAGCUCACUAGUCGAGUGACACUGCGCCGAAAAUGUACCGGGGCUAAACAUAUUACCGAAGCUGUGGAUUGUCCUUUGGACAAUGGUAGGAGAGCGUUCUAAGGGCGUUGAAGCAUGAUCGCAAGGACAUGUGGAGCGCUUAGAAGUGAGAAUGCCGGUGUGAGUAGCGAAAGACGGGUGAGAAUCCCGUCCACCGAUUGACUAAGGUUUCCAGAGGAAGGCUCGUCCGCUCUGGGUUAGUCGGGUCCUAA